RNAcentral lists this ribosomal RNA (467 nucleotides) under uncultured bacterium. RNAcentral's name for it is "partial 16S ribosomal RNA". It matches the Rfam family "Bacterial small subunit ribosomal RNA", at positions 28 to 506 of the family's 1533-position model. The record is from RNAcentral.
GACGAACGCUGGCGGCGUGCUUAACACAUGCAAGUCGAACGGAAAGGCCCUGCUUUUGUGGGGUGCUCGAGUGGCGAACGGGUGAGUAACACGUGAGUAACCUGCCCUUGACUUUGGGAUAACUUCAGGAAACUGGGGCUAAUACCGGAUAGGAGCUCCUACUGCAUGGUGGGGGUUGGAAAGUUUCGGCGGUUGGGGAUGGACUCGCGGCUUAUCAGCUUGUUGGUGGGGUAGUGGCUUACCAAGGCUUUGACGGGUAGCCGGCCUGAGAGGGUGACCGGCCACAUUGGGACUGAGAUACGGCCCAGACUCCUACGGGAGGCAGCAGUGGGGAAUAUUGCACAAUGGGCGGAAGCCUGAUGCAGCAACGCCGCGUGCGGGAUGACGGCCUUCGGGUUGUAAACCGCUUUCGCCUGUGACGAAGCGUGAGUGACGGUAAUGGGUAAAGAAGCACCGGCUAACUACGU